AAGUCGUAACAAGGUUUCCGUAGGUGAACCUGCGGAAGGAUCAUUACCGAGAUAGGGUCCCUCCGGGCCCGAACCUCCCACCCAUUGUUUACUUACCUUUGUUGCUUUGGCGGGCCGUGGAGCGUCAGCCCCCCGUCGACUUCGGUGGACGAGUGCCCGUCCGAAGCCCCCAUCAACGCUUUGAAUAAAUGAAGUCUGAGUCUUAAUAAAUUUACGCAAAACUUUCAACAACGGAUCUCUUGGUUCUG
The sequence is an unclassified non-coding RNA, 248 nucleotides long. The stretch from base 1 to 46 matches the Rfam family "Eukaryotic small subunit ribosomal RNA", at positions 1786 to 1831 of the family's 1831-position model.